Molecule: ribosomal RNA, 405 nt
Filed under: uncultured bacterium
Lineage: Bacteria
Description: bacterial SSU rRNA
Rfam family: Bacterial small subunit ribosomal RNA
Source: RNAcentral
GGGGGAUAUUGGACAAUGGGGGGAACCCUGAUCCAGCGACGCCGCGUGAGUGAAGAAGUAUCUCGGUAUGUAAAGCUCUGUCAGCAGGGAAGAAAGAAAUGACGGUACCUGACCAAGAAGCCCCGGCUAACUACGUGCCAGCAGCCGCGGUAAUACGUAGGGGGCAAGCGUUAUCCGGAUUUACUGGGUGUAAAGGGAGCGUAGACGGUAGUGCAAGUCUGAAGUGAAAGGCGGGGGCCCAACCCCCGGACUGCUUUGGAAACUGUGCAGCUGGAGUGCAGGAGAGGUAAGUGGAAUUCCUAGUGUAGCGGUGAAAUGCGUAGAUAUUAGGAGGAACACCAGUGGCGAAGGCGGCUUACUGGACUGUAACUGACGUUGAGGCUCGAAAGCGUGGGGAGCAACAGG